AUAAACAUUUUUGAUGCAUCUGUUUGCUCUCAGAUUUAAAAAAAAAAGAGCAAAUCGUUUCCCCCCCCCCCCUUUGAUUGAAAGAGUGUGAUGCCACUGGGGAGGGAAAGGUUCAAAUGUGAUCAUCAUAGGUUGGUGACACCAAAAAUAGAAACUCACUUAGGGUAAAAUUUGCUGUCAGGAGAAAUGGAGCAUUCUUUCUGAACCCGGGAGCGUGUGGUCCGUGUGAGCUUGCUUGUAGAGGGUUGCUACAAUAAGGCUUCUUUCAUACAGGUGUGUUUAUGCCCCAGGCUUGCUGGCCACAGUCCAUUCCAUUUACAGAAGCUGAAUUAAACAAUAACUACCGCUUGCAAAAAAAAAAAUGGUGGAGGUGGGGGGAAGGGGAGGGGGAAAGGUGAGCGUCAAAGGAGAUGCCUGAGAGCUUUGUUAGGGCCAAGAAAAACCCUGUUGUAGUUGUCAGAGCUUGUUGAUGUUGCUGGGAACGGCACUUUUUUUUCUCCUGGAUUUUGUGGUUCUGCCUUAGGAAAGAAAGUAAAAUAGAACGGAAGAACAAAGUCCCACUCUAUAAAUCAGCAGCUGCUCCUUGCCAGAUCAAAGGAGUGACAUUCUUGCUCCUGGACUUCUUGUCCACUUGAGGGCUUGACAGGCAGCUAACAGCUGGCCCGCUGCACUAUAAGAGAGAAUCAGCCUACAUCUUCUUCCAAGCAGAUGACAAGCUAAUCAGAGACCUAUCCAUAGCCCAGGACAUGGGAGUGCCCCUUGACCUCCACCAACAUCUCGAAUACAUAAUUGCUAAACAGCGUGCUGUAUUUUUGGCCCUGUUAGUUCUUAGGUUCCAUUGAGAAGUAGAAUCUGAGAUAACACUUCAAUCAAAGGUGAUCAUGAAAGCUUU
RNAcentral lists this long non-coding RNA (892 nucleotides) under Rattus norvegicus (Norway rat). Its description in RNAcentral is "long non-coding RNA NONRATT019580". The record is from RNAcentral. Lineage: Eukaryota; Metazoa; Chordata; Mammalia; Rodentia; Muridae.